RNAcentral lists this ribosomal RNA (207 nucleotides) under Clostridioides difficile. RNAcentral's name for it is "partial 23S ribosomal RNA". It matches the Rfam family "Bacterial large subunit ribosomal RNA", at positions 2625 to 2834 of the family's 2925-position model. The record is from RNAcentral. Lineage: Bacteria; Bacillati; Bacillota; Clostridia; Peptostreptococcales; Peptostreptococcaceae.
GACAGUUCGGUCCCUAUCCGUCGCAGGCGUAGGAAAUUUGAGAAGACCUGUCCUUAGUACGAGAGGACCGGGAUGGACGUACCUCUGGUGUACCAGUUGUUCUGCCAAGGGCAUGGCUGGGUAGCUAUGUACGGAAUGGAUAAGCGCUGAAAGCAUCUAAGCGCGAAGCCAACUUCAAGAUAAGAUUUCCCACCGCAAGGGUAAGAC